GAAGAGCUUGCUUCAGCUGCUGACUCUGGCCCCAGAGUUCUCACUCUGUUCUGAGAUUCUUGAACCUGAAGAAAAAUGGCUGCAAAAUUGUCCUUUCAACCAUGGUUGAACUCUCUGAUCAUGUCGGCAGGAAGAAAAACUUGAAUUGACAUUGAACUGCGUGUUUAAAGAUUUGUAGACCACCCCACACGUCUGUCUCUGGGCGGUAUAUGCUAGAGGGGAAUGUUUCAAGAAAACAAUGAUCAGAGGAAGUAUACUUCACGGAGGGAUUUGAACUGUAUUCCUGUGGACUAUUUCCAAAUCCCACCUUUUAACAGCAGUGAGACUUUGAUAUGGCAAGUUAGAAAAGAGUGUCAUCCAGCUAAUCCUAAGCACAUGAUGGAAUGAGAUGACAAAUGUUACAUGUAUUAAUAUUACAGUAUCCACCAGAGUAAUACAUAGUAAUACAUAUAUAGAAUAUCUGAAAGCCCUCAUUAAAUGUAUAUGUUCAUUAUUUAUAGCCAGAUUCCCCAAUCCAUAUUUUAUGCUGCUUUUCAUUACUCUUAUAAUACAGUGUUUAUUAAUUGAAAAGGACAUGUUCUCAUCAACAGUUUGGAUCCAGAGAGGUGGUUUUCAAUAAGCUUUUGUCACUCUCAGAAAAACAUUGGGGCUAUUUACACACACACACAGGCAAAACCGGGCUAAGGAAGCCCAGCCCAGUUGUGCUGGUGGAUGUGAACGUUCAGGAAUCACACAACUCUUGGCAGCAGACCCGCAUAUGAAGCCCGCCACUUAGCCUGGGUUUGGGGUGUGAGGGUGCCCUUAAACCGGGCUUAGUGCUCACCUGACAGUGCCAUGCAGCUCCAGGUGACACUUACAUGUGAGUAGCCUCCUGGCCAGUGCUGGGAGUCCAAAC
Molecule: long non-coding RNA, 895 nt
Organism: Hemicordylus capensis (graceful crag lizard)
Lineage: Eukaryota; Metazoa; Chordata; Lepidosauria; Squamata; Cordylidae
Exons: 3
Source: RefSeq, a predicted model, not a curated record